Long non-coding RNA from Apis florea (little honeybee), 570 nucleotides. NCBI's taxonomy places the organism in Eukaryota, Metazoa, Arthropoda, Insecta, Hymenoptera, Apidae. The record is from RefSeq and is a predicted model, not a curated record.
CCCUUCCCCUCUUAUCGGCUAGAUAAAAAUCGCGAUAUUUGAGCGUAGCCGUGUCACGCAGGCACACGAUGGCUAGAACCGCGUUAUAAGCAACAGCUCGAGGCAUGGCGGCAGCCAGUUCACAGUCGGCACGCGACCGAAACGGACCGUUGCUCGCGCGAGCGACGUGUCCUUGAUGGAGGACACGCGCCAGGACGAGAAGCCUGAUUUGUUACCAGCCAGUGUGUGUCAGUUGGCCCGAUCGAACGUGAUACAGUCGUGUUCGUUUCGAAGAGUGUUCGACACGCACCGUUAUCGAUCGUUGGAUCCUUCGAGUGUUCAGUGAAGAGAACUUUCUUCUCUUUUUUCGGUGCAUGUGCAAAGUGAUUCGAAGGGAAGGGAAGAGCAAGAGAUUGUUUCGGAAGGAUUUUGAACGCGGCUGGUGGAUUUAGAGAGUUUCGUUUACAGCAAGAAGCUCGAUAAGAAAGCUCGUCGUGAAACGGGAGGUCGAGAAGGGCUCGGCCGAAAAAUUCUGAAACUAGCUCUGAAACGAGAAACAAAGAAAAAGUAGCAAAAGUAGCAAGAAAAAAA